UCGAGAGCGGAUUGGUCGAACGUCACGCUGCUCUGUUCUCAGGCUUUCUGAAUGGGGAGACGGGCCAAUUAAACAUUGCAAGCUACCCUACCCAAACGCUUGAGACGUGAAGAAACAUCGAUGAACUGCUCGUAUUUUAAAGGAAUGCAAGCAUCCUUCCUUCAACGAGUUCAAGUGUAAUGUGGUUAGUCGCGCGCCAGCAUCUAGGACCCGAUUCAGCAAUAGAGGCACGGGCUCCACCAAAAGUGUCGACAAGACCUUCUCCAGGACCAGAAGUCUAUGCAAACAGGAUGGAAGGAUUCCUCGUAUCUCUGACACACUAGAGCCCUUGCUGUCACACUCCCAUCCUCCGUAUCGUGCUCACUCAUUAUCAAAGACAUCAGACCUAUUUGCAAUGAUCCAGAGGAUGCAGGUACUGUAAGUUGUCUGAGAUCUCUGCUGUAUACUAUACUCACUGCUUUGUCUUCUUUGUAGUUUCAAUUUGUUUUCCGUUUACUAUUCUUGUGGGUACUUCUGGUUAAACAUGUCCACACACACACACGCACGCACGCACACACAGACACACUAACCUUGUAGGGACACAAAAUUCAGUCCCAUUCAAAAUCCUAUAUUCCCUAAACCCUAACCCAUACCUUAACCCUAACCCAAAAACCUAACCUUAACCCUAAACCUAACCCUAGCUCCUAACAAUAAAACUAACCCUAGCUCCUAACCCUAAAUCUAAUUCUAACCCUAACACUAAUUCUAACCAUAAACCCCCUAGAAAUAGCAUUUGACCUUGUGGGGACUAAGAA
RNAcentral lists this long non-coding RNA (794 nucleotides) under Salmo trutta (river trout). RNAcentral's name for it is "lncRNA (ENSSTUG00000049785.1)". Lineage: Eukaryota; Metazoa; Chordata; Actinopteri; Salmoniformes; Salmonidae. The record is from RNAcentral.